GAUGAACGCUGGCGGCGUGCCUAAUACAUGCAAGUCGAGCGAACAGAUGAGGAGCUUGCUCCUCUGACGUUAGCGGCGGACGGGUGAGUAACACGUGGAUAACCUACCUAUAAGACUGGGAUAACUUCGGGAAACCGGAUCUAAUACCGGAUCAUAUAUUGAACCGCAUGGUUCAAUAGUGAUAGACGGUUUUGCUGUCACUUAUAGAUGGAUCCGCGCCGCAUUAGCUAGUUGGUAAGGUAACGGCUUACCAAGGCGACGAUGCGUAGCCGACCUGAGAGGGGGAUAGGCCCAAAUGGAAGUGGGAAACGGGCCAGGCUCCUAAGGGAGGCAGCAGGGGGGAAAUUUUGCCAAAGGGGGGAAGCCUUGCAGAGCCAGCGCGCGGGGGGGAAUGAGGCCUUCGGGUUGGAAAAACUUUUUUUUGGGGAAAAAAAAAAGGAGGAAAAAACUAUGCCGUUCUGACGGUAACCAAAGAAGAAGCCCCGGCUAAAUUCGUG
RNAcentral lists this ribosomal RNA (497 nucleotides) under uncultured bacterium. RNAcentral describes it as "partial 16S ribosomal RNA". It matches the Rfam family "Bacterial small subunit ribosomal RNA", at positions 28 to 507 of the family's 1533-position model. The record is from RNAcentral.